RNAcentral lists this ribosomal RNA (140 nucleotides) under Pseudoalteromonas ruthenica. RNAcentral describes it as "partial 23S ribosomal RNA". It matches the Rfam family "Bacterial large subunit ribosomal RNA", at positions 2028 to 2167 of the family's 2925-position model. The record is from RNAcentral. Lineage: Bacteria; Pseudomonadati; Pseudomonadota; Gammaproteobacteria; Alteromonadales; Pseudoalteromonadaceae.
GAGCCUCAGUGAAAUUGAAAUCGCAGUGAAGAUGCUGUGUCCCCGCGCCUAGCCGGAAAGACCCCGUGACCCUAUAGAACAGCUGGUCACUGCACAUUCGGCCGACAAGUCUAGCAGACCUGGGAGGCGUUCUAUAUGGG